UACGGGGGGAGCAAGCGUUGUUCGGAUUUACUGGGCGUAAAGGGCGCGUAGGCGGCCACUGCAAGUCGGUUGUGAAAUCUCCGGGCUUAACCCGGAAAGGUCAACCGAUACUGCAGGGCUAGAGUGCAGAAGGGGCAACUGGAAUUCUCGGUGUAGCGGUGAAAUGCGUAGAUAUCAAGAGGAACACCUGCGGCGAAGGCGGGUUGCUGGGCUGACACUGACGCUGAAGCGCGAAAGCCAGGGGAGCAAACGGG
RNAcentral lists this ribosomal RNA (254 nucleotides) under uncultured bacterium. RNAcentral describes it as "partial 16S ribosomal RNA". It matches the Rfam family "Bacterial small subunit ribosomal RNA", at positions 524 to 776 of the family's 1533-position model. The record is from RNAcentral.